CCUACGGGAGGCAGCAGUGGGGAAUAUUGCACAAUGGGGGGAACCCUGAUGCAGCGACGCCGCGUGGGUGAAGGAGUAUUUCGGUAUGUAAAGCCCUAUCAGCAGGGAAGUACAAUGACGGUACCUGACUAAGAAGCCCCGGCUAACUACGUGCCAGCAGCCGCGGUAAUACGUAGGGGGCAAGCGUUAUCCGGAUUUACUGGGUGUAAAGGGAGCGUAGACGGUGCAGCAAGUCUGAUGUGAAAGGUCGGGUCCCAACCACGGGACUGCAUUGGAAACUGUUGAACUGGAGUACAGGAGAGGUAAGCGGAAUUCCUAGUGUAGCGGUGAAAUGCGUAGAUAUUACGAGGAACACCAGUGGCGAAGGCGGCUUACUAGACUGUAACUGACGUUGAGGCUCGAAAGCGUGGGGAGCAAACAGGAUUAGAUACCCCAGUAGUC
RNAcentral lists this ribosomal RNA (441 nucleotides) under uncultured bacterium. RNAcentral's name for it is "partial 16S ribosomal RNA". It matches the Rfam family "Bacterial small subunit ribosomal RNA", at positions 338 to 795 of the family's 1533-position model. The record is from RNAcentral.